GACGAACGCUGGCGGCGUGCUUAACACAUGCAAGUCGAACGGAAAGGCCCUGCUUUUGUGUGGUGCCCGAGUGGCGAACGGGUGAGUAACCCGUGAGUAACCUGCCCUUGACUUUGGGAUAACUUGAGGAAACUGGGGCUAAUACCGACUAGGAGCUCCUGCUGCAGGGUGGGGUUUGGAACGUUUCGUCGGUUGGGGAUGGAGGGGCGGUUUAUCAGCUUGUUGGUGGGGUAGUGGCUUACCAAGGCUUGGAUGGGUAGCCGGACUGGGAGGGUGACCGGGCCCAGGGGAAUUGGGAUGGCGGCAAGACGGAUAAGGGAGGAAGGGGUGGGGAAUAUUGCAAGAUGGGCGGAAGGCUUAUGGAGGAACGCCGGGUGGGGGAUGACGGCCUGCGGGUUGUAAACCGAUUUCGCCUGUGACGAAGCGUGAGGGAGGGUAAUGGGGAAAGAAGCACCGGUAAAUUCGGU
This 467-nucleotide ribosomal RNA is filed under the name uncultured bacterium. Its description in RNAcentral is "partial 16S ribosomal RNA". It matches the Rfam family "Bacterial small subunit ribosomal RNA", at positions 28 to 506 of the family's 1533-position model. The record is from RNAcentral.